This 273-nucleotide ribosomal RNA is filed under the name uncultured bacterium. Its description in RNAcentral is "partial 16S ribosomal RNA". It matches the Rfam family "Bacterial small subunit ribosomal RNA", at positions 523 to 796 of the family's 1533-position model. The record is from RNAcentral.
AUACGGAGGGGGCUAGCGUUGUUCGGAAUUACUGGGCGUAAAGCGUACGUAGUCGGACUGAUCAGUUGGGGGGGAAAUCCCAGGGCUUAACCCUGGAACUGCCUUCAAUACUGUCAGUCUUGAGUUUGGGAGAGGUGAGUGGAAUUCCUAGUGUAGAGGUGAAAUUCAUAGAUAUUAGGAGGAACACCAGUGGCGAAGGCGGCUCACUGGCCCAUUACUGACGCUGAGGUACGAAAGCGUGGGGAGCAAACAGGAUUAGAAACCCUAGUGUCC